AGCGAACGCUGGCGGCAGGCUUAACACAUGCAAGUCGAGCGGGCACUUUCGGGUGUCAGCGGCGGACGGGUGAGUAACGCGUGGGAACGUGCCCUCUGGUUCGGAAUAACUCAGGGAAACUUGAGCUAAUACCGGAUACGCCCUUUUGGGGAAAGGCUUGCUGCCGGAGGAUCGGCCCGCGUCUGAUUAGCUAGUUGGUGAGGUAACGGCUCACCAAGGCGACGAUCAGUAGCUGGUCUGAGAGGAUGAUCAGCCACACUGGGACUGAGACACGGCCCAGACUCCUACGGGAGGCAGCAGUGGGGAAUAUUGGACGAUGGGCGCAAGCCUGAUCCAGCCAUGCCGCGUGAGUGAUGAAGGCCUUAGGGUUGUAAAGCUCUUUUAUCCGGGACGAUAAUGACGGUACCGGAGGAAUAAGCCCCGGCUAACUUCGUG
Molecule: ribosomal RNA, 435 nt
Filed under: uncultured bacterium
Lineage: Bacteria
Description: partial 16S ribosomal RNA
Rfam family: Bacterial small subunit ribosomal RNA
Source: RNAcentral